RNAcentral lists this long non-coding RNA (1879 nucleotides) under Zea mays. RNAcentral describes it as "uncharacterized LOC100275701 (LOC100275701)". Lineage: Eukaryota; Viridiplantae; Streptophyta; Magnoliopsida; Poales; Poaceae. The record is from RNAcentral.
UCGCCGAGCUCAAUCCCAAGCUGCCAUGCACCCAAUUCCAUCUCCUUCCCCAGCUCCGGCGUCCGUGGCACCUAGGCCAUGGCUCUGUGCUCGCCGGUUCGUCCUAAGCGUUGGGCAUGUGCUCCCCUGCCCCUCUGUCCGCCGACGACUCUCCCUUACCAUCUCCUCGCUGGUUCAAGACGCCCAACCUUCUUCUCCCUGCUCGGAUCCCGCUCGUGGAGCUCCCUUCCUCUACCUUGGCCGCCGUUGAGCUCACCCAGCGGCCCUUCCUCUACCUCCCGCAAGCUCCCAGCGAUGCGCCCCAGGUCCCUGCGCACAGCCGCCACCGGCCGAGCUCGCCCCCGGCACUUCGCUCCUCCAUAGUCGCGCCCUGGAGCUCGCCCAGCGUUCUUCCACGCUGAUGGUCGGUGGUCUCCUUACAGCGACACCGAUUCCUGCUCCCGUGGAUGACGGCGGCAGGAGAUGCUUCUCCCCCGCGCUCGCCCAUGGACGCCAGCCGCGCCCCCUUCUCGUCGUGGAGCUUGCCGCGCCCUUCCAGUUCCCUCUGCCCGGCCAUGGAGCUCGCCCCUGGCUUGGAUUCCAGCGCCCCGCUCCCUGUUUGCCCCUGCUCGCCUGGCCACUACGCAGCCCCCUCGGCUUCUCCUCCCCAGCACGCCACGCCCAGCUCCCUGCGCGCGUCCCUCUGUUGGCCGGAGUACCCUGGCCCGACCCCGUGCUGCGCUGGCCCAGCCGUGGUCUCCAGCUCGCCGGCCGCGAGUCCCUACCCAUGGCCGCUGUGCCGAGUUCUUCUCCAGCGUCGUGAAGCCCCUGCUCCUCGCUCGCCUCCAUGGUGUUGCCGUAGAAUUUCCUCGCCGCGCCCUUGCCAAGCUCUGGCGCGCGUAGUCCUGUUUCAAUGAUGGCCGCUCAUUCCUUCUCUGGUGCUCGCCGAUGGCGCGCAGUCGCGUCUUCUCAUUCGACCUGCUCCGGAUCCGAAGCUGGUCGCCCUAUGUGCUCGACUUUGUCUUAUCGCAGAAACCCCAACGUCGUCGACCUUGCCGAUUGUCGUCAUUCGUCGUCGCGUCGUGCGUGCAGCAGCCCCAGAUCUGUGCAGCUCUGCUCUUGUUGUCGACAUCGCUCGCCGUGGCUCAGCUUGCUAGCUUGUCGUUGUUUCGUCGUCUCGUCUUGAUGUCAGUCCCUACGUGGCAUCUCCGACAUAUAUUCACGCCGACAAAAGAAUCCCAAGAAGAUAUAGAGAAGCAAGUCAAUCAUCGCCAUUUAUACGGAGUUCUAGUUAAUAUGGAGAGAUUCCAAGAAUUGCGGAUGGAAGAGAAAGUAAAGCUCCGUUCUAUACUCAUCAACUGUUUGAUCGAAGAUUUUAUUCGGAGGCUGUCGACGUUCUCGCAAGCUUUGAGUCGGACUUGCUUUGGAUGAGAAAUCCCUGAUGUUCGAGAGAGGCCUGUAAGCGCUCUCUUGGGACUCGACCAAAUGACUAAAUUGGAAAACCAUCAUCGCCCUCGCGGAUAUCGAAUCCAUUCGGUCUUGGUAAGCCAAUUUAUUAUUUCGGUUAAUCGAAUUGGAUUAACUAGACUCAUUAGUUGUAAUAAUUCUUGUGUUUAGCAGAUGCGUCGUAUUUGUGUUAGAUGCUUGCUAAAAUAUCUCAGCCCCUCUGGUAAUGUAAUUGUGUGAAAUAAAUGCGUGAUAUGGUGCACCUUAGGUGUAAAAUGCAGGAUAAAUAAAAUAUUUAAUUUAGUGAGAACUUAGAAUAGUAAUUCUAGAAGUUAAUGGGAUGAUUUCUAUUUUUAGUCUGAGUUUAGAUGUUGUGCUCUAGUUAAGAGAGAUAGAGUGCUUGUAAACGGUUCGCUAUGGUUUGCCGUUAAAAUUGGAUCCGAGUAAGCUAGAA